Long non-coding RNA from Gadus chalcogrammus (walleye pollock), 260 nucleotides. RefSeq lists it as uncharacterized. Lineage: Eukaryota; Metazoa; Chordata; Actinopteri; Gadiformes; Gadidae. The transcript is spliced from 3 exons. The record is from RefSeq and is a predicted model, not a curated record.
AUAUCACAUCUGAGCUUGCAGGAAACUAUUACUGCCAAGCACAUAAUGCAAUCGGACAUCAUGACUCCACAUUUUUGAUAAUUAAAGUUUGUAUUCAGGGUUUGAAAUCGACACCAUCACCAUGGACAACAACAGUAGCUGUGAGAGGCAUUGUUGUCCUACUGUCCACCGUACUCCUCCUUGUAUUCCUCUGGAUGAGAAGAAAGAGGGCCUCCAGUAAAGCAUGUGGACAGGGAGGAAGGCCAGAUACCGUGGAGGAG